UAUGAAUAUAAAUAUCACGGUUAUUUACAAUAACUUUGAUACUGAGUUGUCUGUCUAACUUGCAAGUACUCGCAUCUCUAGUUCAUACAACAAAAAACUGAAAUGACCAAAUUAACUUUAUUGUUAUCAAUUAUUUUAUUUAUUGGCUUCUGUACUAGUGCAGUUGAAGCAUGUGACGGAAAUUGGUGUCAUCCUUUAAAAGGCUAUAAUUGCGGCUGUGACGGUUACCUUUGUACUAGACUCAUUUUUCAAGGCACUUGCAUAAGUAGAGAAGAAGCUUACAAAGGAUUUGUGGGUUAAAUAAAAUUUAAAAUGUUUGAAAAAUCCGAAAAUGCGAACUUUAACACUCAUGUUCUCUGUUGAAUAAUCUAUUUACUUUUAUUAAUUGUCAAACAAUGAAUUCCUUCCU
Molecule: long non-coding RNA, 409 nt
Organism: Microplitis demolitor
Lineage: Eukaryota; Metazoa; Arthropoda; Insecta; Hymenoptera; Braconidae
Exons: 3
Source: RefSeq, a predicted model, not a curated record